RNAcentral lists this ribosomal RNA (253 nucleotides) under uncultured bacterium. Its description in RNAcentral is "partial 16S ribosomal RNA". It matches the Rfam family "Bacterial small subunit ribosomal RNA", at positions 524 to 776 of the family's 1533-position model. The record is from RNAcentral.
UACGUAGGUGGCAAGCGUUGUCCGGAUUUACUGGGUGUAAAGGGCGUGUAGCCGGGCUUACAAGUCAGAUGUGAAAUCCGGGGGCUCAACCCCCGAACUGCAUUUGAAACUGUAGGUCUUGAGUAUCGGAGAGGCAGGCGGAAUUCCUAGUGUAGCGGUGAAAUGCGUAGAUAUUAGGAGGAACACCAGUGGCGAAGGCGGCCUGCUGGACGACAACUGACGGUGAGGCGCGAAAGCGUGGGUAGCAAACAGG